GAUGAACGCUGGCGGCGUGCCUAAUACAUGCAAGUCGAACGCACAGCGAAAGGUGCUUGCAUCUUUCAAGUGAGUGGCGAACGGGUGAGUAACACGUGGAUAACCUACCUCAAGGUUGGGGAUAACAUUUGGAAACAGAUGCUAAUACCGAAUAAAACUUCGUAUCGCAUGAUACAAGGUUAAAAGGCGCUACGGCGUCACCUAGAGAUGGAUCCGCGGUGCAUUAGUUAGUUGGUGGGGUAAAGGCCUACCAAGACAAUGAUGCAUAGCCGAGUUGAGAGAUUGAUCGGCCACAUUGGGACUGAGACACGGCCCAAACUCCUACGGGAGGCUGCAGUAGGGAAUCUUCCACAAUGGGCGAAAGCCUGAUGGAGUAACGCCGCGUGUGUGAUGAAGGCUUUCGGGUCGUAAAGCACUGUUGUAUGGGAAGAACAGCUAGAGUAGGGAAUGACUUUAGUUGACGGUACCAUACCAGAAAGGGACGGCUAAAUACGUGCCAGCAGCC
RNAcentral lists this ribosomal RNA (505 nucleotides) under uncultured bacterium. Its description in RNAcentral is "bacterial SSU rRNA". It matches the Rfam family "Bacterial small subunit ribosomal RNA", at positions 28 to 516 of the family's 1533-position model. The record is from RNAcentral.